This 465-nucleotide ribosomal RNA is filed under the name uncultured bacterium. RNAcentral's name for it is "partial 16S ribosomal RNA". It matches the Rfam family "Bacterial small subunit ribosomal RNA", at positions 28 to 507 of the family's 1533-position model. The record is from RNAcentral.
GACGAACGCUGGCGGCGUGCUUAACACAUGCAAGUCGUACGGUAAGGCCCUUUCGGGGGUACCCGAGUGGCGGACGGGUGCGUAACACGUGAGUAACCUGCCCACUACUCUGUGAUAACGCUAGGAAACUGGUGCUACUACUGCAUAUGUGCUCCUGCUGCAUGGUGGGGGUUGGAAAGCUCCGGCGGGUGUGGAUGGACUCGCGGCCUAUCGGCUUGUUGGGGGGGUAGUGGCCUACCAAGGCGGCGACGGGUAGCCGGCCUGAGAGGGUGACCGGCCACACUGAGACUGAGAGACGGCCCAGACGCCUACGGGUGGCAGCAGGGGGGAAUAUUGCACCAGGGGCGCAAGCCUGAUGCAGAAGCGCCGCGGGCGGGAAGGCGGCCUUCGGGUUGUAAACCGGUUUCAGCAGGGACGAAGCUUUUUGUGACGGUACCUGAAGAAGAAGCACCGGCUAACUACGUG